This 2900-nucleotide ribosomal RNA is filed under the name Klebsiella pneumoniae. Its description in RNAcentral is "23S ribosomal RNA". It matches the Rfam family "Bacterial large subunit ribosomal RNA". Lineage: Bacteria; Pseudomonadati; Pseudomonadota; Gammaproteobacteria; Enterobacterales; Enterobacteriaceae. The record is from RNAcentral.
UUAAGCGACUAAGCGUACACGGUGGAUGCCCUGGCAGUCAGAGGCGAUGAAGGACGUGCUAAUCUGCGAAAAGCGUCGGUAAGGUGAUAUGAACCGUUAUAACCGGCGAUGUCCGAAUGGGGAAACCCAGUGCAAUUCGUUGCACUAUCGUUAACUGAAUACAUAGGUUAACGAGGCGAACCGGGGGAACUGAAACAUCUAAGUACCCCGAGGAAAAGAAAUCAACCGAGAUUCCCCCAGUAGCGGCGAGCGAACGGGGAGCAGCCCAGAGUCUGAAUCAGCUUGUGUGUUAGUGGAACGGUCUGGAAAGUCCGACGGUACAGGGUGAUAGUCCCGUACACCAAAAUGCACAGGCUGUGAACUCGAAGAGUAGGGCGGGACACGUGGUAUCCUGUCUGAAUAUGGGGGGACCAUCCUCCAAGGCUAAAUACUCCUGACUGACCGAUAGUGAACCAGUACCGUGAGGGAAAGGCGAAAAGAACCCCGGCGAGGGGAGUGAAAAAGAACCUGAAACCGUGUACGUACAAGCAGUGGGAGCACCUUCGGGUGUGACUGCGUACCUUUUGUAUAAUGGGUCAGCGACUUAUAUUCUGUAGCAAGGUUAACCGUAUAGGGGAGCCGCAGGGAAACCGAGUCUUAACUGGGCGUUAAGUUGCAGGGUAUAGACCCGAAACCCGGUGAUCUAGCCAUGGGCAGGUUGAAGGUUGGGUAACACUAACUGGAGGACCGAACCGACUAAUGUUGAAAAAUUAGCGGAUGACUUGUGGCUGGGGGUGAAAGGCCAAUCAAACCGGGAGAUAGCUGGUUCUCCCCGAAAGCUAUUUAGGUAGCGCCUCGUGAACUCAUCUUCGGGGGUAGAGCACUGUUUCGGCUAGGGGGUCAUCCCGACUUACCAACCCGAUGCAAACUACGAAUACCGAAGAAUGUUAUCACGGGAGACACACGGCGGGUGCUAACGUCCGUCGUGAAGAGGGAAACAACCCAGACCGCCAGCUAAGGUCCCAAAGUCAUGGUUAAGUGGGAAACGAUGUGGGAAGGCACAGACAGCCAGGAUGUUGGCUUAGAAGCAGCCAUCAUUUAAAGAAAGCGUAAUAGCUCACUGGUCGAGUCGGCCUGCGCGGAAGAUGUAACGGGGCUAAACCAUGCACCGAAGCUGCGGCAGCGACACUAUGUGUUGUUGGGUAGGGGAGCGUUCUGUAAGCCUGCGAAGGUGUGCUGUGAGGCAUGCUGGAGGUAUCAGAAGUGCGAAUGCUGACAUAAGUAACGAUAAAGCGGGUGAAAAGCCCGCUCGCCGGAAGACCAAGGGUUCCUGUCCAACGUUAAUCGGGGCAGGGUGAGUCGACCCCUAAGGCGAGGCCGAAAGGCGUAGUCGAUGGGAAACAGGUUAAUAUUCCUGUACUUGGUGUUACUGCGAAGGGGGGACGGAGAAGGCUAUGUUAGCCGGGCGACGGUUGUCCCGGUUUAAGCAUGUAGGCUGGUUGUCCAGGCAAAUCCGGAUAAUCAAGGCUGAGGUGUGAUGACGAGGCACUACGGUGCUGAAGUAACAAAUGCCCUGCUUCCAGGAAAAGCCUCUAAGCAUCAGGUAACAUCAAAUCGUACCCCAAACCGACACAGGUGGUCAGGUAGAGAAUACCAAGGCGCUUGAGAGAACUCGGGUGAAGGAACUAGGCAAAAUGGUGCCGUAACUUCGGGAGAAGGCACGCUGGUGUGUAGGUGAAGCCCCUGCGGGUGGAGCUGAGACCAGUCGAAGAUACCAGCUGGCUGCAACUGUUUAUUAAAAACACAGCACUGUGCAAACACGAAAGUGGACGUAUACGGUGUGACGCCUGCCCGGUGCCGGAAGGUUAAUUGAUGGGGUUAUCUGUAAGGAGAAGCUCUUGAUCGAAGCCCCGGUAAACGGCGGCCGUAACUAUAACGGUCCUAAGGUAGCGAAAUUCCUUGUCGGGUAAGUUCCGACCUGCACGAAUGGCGUAAUGAUGGCCAGGCUGUCUCCACCCGAGACUCAGUGAAAUUGAACUCGCUGUGAAGAUGCAGUGUACCCGCGGCAAGACGGAAAGACCCCGUGAACCUUUACUAUAGCUUGACACUGAACAUUGAGCCUUGAUGUGUAGGAUAGGUGGGAGGCUUUGAAGCGUGGACGCCAGUCUGCGUGGAGCCAACCUUGAAAUACCACCCUUUAAUGUUUGAUGUUCUAACGUUGGCCCCUUACCGGGGUUGCGGACAGUGUCUGGUGGGUAGUUUGACUGGGGCGGUCUCCUCCCAAAGCGUAACGGAGGAGCACGAAGGUUAGCUAAUCCUGGUCGGACAUCAGGAGGUUAGUGCAAUGGCAUAAGCUAGCUUGACUGCGAGCGUGACGGCGCGAGCAGGUGCGAAAGCAGGUCAUAGUGAUCCGGUGGUUCUGAAUGGAAGGGCCAUCGCUCAACGGAUAAAAGGUACUCCGGGGAUAACAGGCUGAUACCGCCCAAGAGUUCAUAUCGACGGCGGUGUUUGGCACCUCGAUGUCGGCUCAUCACAUCCUGGGGCUGAAGUAGGUCCCAAGGGUAUGGCUGUUCGCCAUUUAAAGUGGUACGCGAGCUGGGUUUAGAACGUCGUGAGACAGUUCGGUCCCUAUCUGCCGUGGGCGCUGGAGAAUUGAGGGGGGCUGCUCCUAGUACGAGAGGACCGGAGUGGACGCAUCACUGGUGUUCGGGUUGUCAUGCCAAUGGCACUGCCCGGUAGCUAAAUGCGGAAGAGAUAAGUGCUGAAAGCAUCUAAGCACGAAACUUGCCCCGAGAUGAGUUCUCCCUGAGACUUUAAGUCUCCUGAAGGAACGUUGAAGACGACGACGUUGAUAGGCCGGGUGUGUAAGCGCAGCGAUGCGUUGAGCUAACCGGUACUAAUGAACCGUGAGGCUUAACCUU